UACGUAGGGGGCAAGCGUUGUCCGGAUUUAUUGGGCGUAAAGAGCGUGUAGGCGGCUUGGAAGGUCCGUUGUGAAAACUCGAGGCUCAACCUCGAGACGCCGAUGGAAACCACCUAGCUAGAGUCCGGAAGAGGAGAGUGGAAUUCCUGGUGUAGCGGUGAAAUGCGCAGAUAUCAGGAAGAACACCCGUGGCUAAGGCGGCUCUCUAGUACGGUACUGACGCUGAGACGCGAAAGCGUGGGGAGCGAACAGG
This 253-nucleotide ribosomal RNA is filed under the name Gaiella sp. RNAcentral describes it as "partial 16S ribosomal RNA". It matches the Rfam family "Bacterial small subunit ribosomal RNA", at positions 524 to 776 of the family's 1533-position model. The record is from RNAcentral. RNAcentral also lists the same sequence under 1 other name. Lineage: Bacteria; Bacillati; Actinomycetota; Thermoleophilia; Gaiellales; Gaiellaceae.